Molecule: ribosomal RNA, 551 nt
Filed under: Gloeandromyces streblae
Lineage: Eukaryota; Fungi; Ascomycota; Laboulbeniomycetes; Laboulbeniales; Laboulbeniaceae
Description: SSU rRNA
Rfam family: Eukaryotic small subunit ribosomal RNA
Source: RNAcentral
CAUGCUUUUGACGGGUAACGGGGAAUUAGGGUUCGACUCCGGAGAGGGAGCCUGAGAAACGGCUACCACAUCCAAGGAAGGCAGCAGGCGCGCAAAUUACCCAAUCCCAACAUGGGGAGGUAGUGACAAGAAAUACUGAUAUAGGGUCCUAUAGGAUCUUGUAAUUGGAAUGAGUACAAUUUAAACCCAUUAACGAGGAACAACUAGAGGGCAAGUCUGGUGCCAGCAGCCGCGGUAAUUCCAGCUCUAGUAGCAUACAUUAAAAUUGUUGCAGUUAAAACGCCCGUAGUUGAAGUUUAGGUCCUUAUCAUCUGGUCUGCCUCACCGCUAGUACUGGUAUGAUUGGGCCUUUUUUCUUGGUAAACUGUUAUGCCCUUUAUUGGGUGUGGCAGUGAACUAGGACUUUUACUUUGAAAAAAUUAGAGUGUUUAAAGCAGGCUUUUGCUCGAAUACCUUAGCAUGGAAUAAUGGAAUAUGACGAGUGGUUGUUUUUCAUUGGUUUUCACGACUACCGUAAUGAUUGAUAGGGAUGGUCGGGGGCAUCGGUAUUC